RNAcentral lists this ribosomal RNA (488 nucleotides) under Globigerinoides ruber. RNAcentral's name for it is "bacterial SSU rRNA". It matches the Rfam family "Eukaryotic small subunit ribosomal RNA", at positions 1174 to 1463 of the family's 1831-position model. Lineage: Eukaryota; Foraminifera; Rotaliida; Globigerinidae. The record is from RNAcentral.
CAAGCGCGUGGAGCAUGUGGCUUAAUUUGACUCAACACGGGAAAUCUUACCGGGUCCGGACAUACCGAGGAUUGACAGACUGUUAACUGCAACACAAGCUGCUAAGUUUUAAACUUAAUAGCUCUUUCAUGAUUAUAUGAUAGGUGGUGCAUGGCCGUUCUUAGUUCGUGGAGUGAUCUGUCUGCUUAAUUGCGUUUCAAAAUUUAAACCUGAGCGACAAGGUGCUGCUAUCGAAACUGUCUUUGAGUGUGAACUAUAAGUCUUUUGACUUAUGACCAUCACUCUAGACGUUUAUGUUUUGGUGUUGGCCCUUGAUGCUCAUUUGAACGCAACGGACGUGAUUGCAACCCCUUGUUGAGAUUUAUCCGAUCUCUACGUUCACUGAACCACACUCUUUAGCGAGAGCAGUGGGGAUGUGGAUAAACUCGGGGGACUGCUGACUAUAAACUUUUCUCAAACCAGAGGAAGGUUGCGGCAAUAACAGGUCU